GAUGAACGCUGGCGGCGUGCCUAAUACAUGCAAGUCGAACGAACUGACUAGGUGCUUUCUCCUCUGACGUUAGCGGCGUACUGGUGAGUAACACGUGGAUCACCUACCUAUCAGACUGGGAUAACUUCGGGACUCCUGACCUAAUAUCGGCUAAUAUAUUGAACCGCAUGGUUCAAUAUUGAAAUACGGUUUUGCUGUCACUUAUAGAUUGUUCCGCGCCGCAUUAGCUAGUUGGUGAGGUAACGGCUUACCAAGGCAACGAUAGGGAGCCGCCCGGAGAGGGUGAUCGGGGAGCAUGGAAGUGAGACCCGGUCCAAACGACUAGGGAAGGCGGCAGUAGGGCAACGUGCGGAAGGAGCGAAAGACUGACGGAGAAACGCGACGUGAUGGAUGAAGGUCUUCGGGUGGUAAAACACGGUUAUUGGGGAAGAAAAAAUGUGUAAGUAACAAUGAAGGAAGUGACGGUACCUUAUGAGAAAGGCACGGCUAACUACGUG
RNAcentral lists this ribosomal RNA (497 nucleotides) under uncultured bacterium. RNAcentral's name for it is "partial 16S ribosomal RNA". It matches the Rfam family "Bacterial small subunit ribosomal RNA", at positions 28 to 507 of the family's 1533-position model. The record is from RNAcentral.